UUAACUUGUGAACAUGUUUUAAUCACAGGUAUUUUAAGUCACCUGUUGUCCAGACCUUGUCAGCUGAAUAGCCUGUCGUGCUAAAGGUUCACCACAGAGAAGGCAGUGCUUAACGCUGAGGUAAAAAGAUGUUGUCUAGUAGAGUUAUGCAAGUUUACUAGCUCGUGUGCCUAAACAUCUGAUCCAUAAAUGAGGUGGAGUCAGAGCUGGGUUGACUACUUACUGCAUUGUGAGGUGGAUGGGCCUCUGUGAAUGUGGCUGCCAAGGUCUGCUAAGGGUAUGGCGGUUGUCCGUGGUUUUUUUUUUUUUUGGCUGUACGAUUUUCCUCAGCUUGUUGGCCCUUUUUUAUUUUUUUCCCUUUUCAGUGUUCUGCUAGACCGACAAGGUGGUGGAUUGUGGGAACCCCUUUCCCCUUCAAUGCAUGUGGUGGUGGGUAUGACAGCUGUGUGCAUGCUUUACUUAGUUUUAUUGUGUGAUGUUUGUGUGUCUAGGUGGCUGCGCACCAGUGUGAGUGGUGUCAAGGCACCUGGGUGGCAGGUCUGGCCCUUGUACAUGCAGAGGUGUUUAACGUGUCCUUUUAUCCCUUGGCGUCUACAUCUUAUCCUGUUUUUAUUGUUGUGCUUGUGCAGUGAAUAAAAUUGCCCAAAGCCUGAUUUAUUUUUUUAAAUAAAUCUUCCUUCCGGUUGAAA
Molecule: long non-coding RNA, 689 nt
Organism: Micropterus salmoides (largemouth bass)
Lineage: Eukaryota; Metazoa; Chordata; Actinopteri; Centrarchiformes; Centrarchidae
Exons: 2
Source: RefSeq, a predicted model, not a curated record